Molecule: ribosomal RNA, 384 nt
Filed under: uncultured prokaryote
Description: bacterial SSU rRNA
Rfam family: Archaeal small subunit ribosomal RNA
Source: RNAcentral
GCGAAAACUUUACAAUGCUGGCAACAGCGAUAAGGGAACCUCGAGUGCCAGGUUACAAAUCUGGCUGUCGAGAUGCCUAAAAAGCAUUUCAUAGCAAGGGCCGGGCAAGACCGGUGCCAGCCGCCGCGGUAACACCGGCGGCUCGAGUGGUAACCGUUCUUCUUGGGUCUAAAGGGUCUGUAGCCGGCCGGAUAAGUCUCUUGAGAAAUCUGGCAGCUUAAACGUCAGGCUUUCAGGAGAUACUGUCGGGCUCGAGGCCGGGAGAGGUGAGAGGUACUUCAGGGGUAGGGGUGAAAUCUUGUAAUCCUUGAAGGACCACCAGUGGCGAAGGCGUCUCACCAGAACGGACCUGACGGCAAGGGACGAAAGCUAGGGGCACGAACC